This 6390-nucleotide long non-coding RNA is filed under the name Sus scrofa (pig). RNAcentral's name for it is "lncRNA (ENSSSCG00055027318.1)". Lineage: Eukaryota; Metazoa; Chordata; Mammalia; Artiodactyla; Suidae. The record is from RNAcentral.
GGGGGAGCUAAGUGUUAACCCAGGUCUGCAUGAUGAAAAGUGUCGUAGAGAGUUCUUGAGUCUGAAGGCCAAUGAUAUCAGAUGGAAAGUGGGAUCUACAACAUGAAAGAAUGGCGUUGGAAAUGAUAAAUAUAUGGGCCCACUCACCAGACCACCCACACUGGGUGGACUUACCCUCUUUCCUGGGAGAAGAAUGAGGUUCUUGGAAUCGUCUCUAGUUGGGGGAAGGCAGUGAUUGUGUCAAACAGCCGUAUGGAGAGGUCUGCAUAGGGAAGAACUGAAGUCUACCAAAACCCACAGGAAUAAUCUUGGAUGUGGACACUCUAUCCCCAGGUAGGUUUUGAAAUGACUGAAACCCUGACUGUCAGCCUGACUGCAACCUCAUGAAAGACCCUGAGCCACAACACUCCAGCAGGUGCUCCCAGAUUCCUGAUCCUCAGAAACUGUUUGAUAAUCAAUGCCAUUACAAUACUGACAGUACCUGAUGCAUACAAUAUCAGCAAUAAAAUAUCAGCUGCUUUUAUAAUUUGUCCUUUAAAAGCUGAUGCUUCUAAAUCUGUAAAUCUCAUUGCCAGGGUUGCCAUUGCCAAACUGUGCUGUGGAAUAGCCAAUGUCAGUGGUUCAAGUAUGGCAGUCUCUCUUCCUUUCCCUGGCUUCUAUAAAGGCACAAGAUUAUUAAAUGGGUUCUGGCUAAAGAGCAUUGGCAAAGUGAUUGGGAAUCCCUAUGGAAAUCCUAUCUCCCUCUAGCACACUUUCCUCAAUGUAUCUCUCCAGGCUCUGCCUUGCAAAGUUUCAGUGCUGCCUUCUGGUCUCUCUUGCACAUUCUAUUUUUCAGGACUCUUUCUUAUUUUCUCAAUCUUUUCAGACAUGUUGAUAACCCAGAUUCACCUUCUUUGGGACAUGGACUUCUUUUCUCCUUCGACUUUGGGCUCCAUGGUUGCAGAAUCUGCCACUGAAUCAAUUGAUUUUUCUAGAAGCAGAAAUUGAGAUCAAAUUUGGAGUGUAAGAACUUUAUUGAGGAUAAUAUCUUGGAAGGUAAUAGAAAGAGAAGCAGGAUCAGGCAGAGAAAGCCUCAGGUUGUUAUGUAGAUCUGACACCUGGAAAGGAAAGGUGGGAACUAGUAAGAUUGUGUUGGGAUAACCUGAGAUCAUGAUUCAGGUUUGAAAAGUCACUGAUCCAACAAUGAGCUGCAGAGAGAAGAUCCUGAAAGGUGUCCAAAUUCAGGCUGAAAUCAGCAGGCUCUAGUACCUUUACAAUGCUCAGUCAUGAUUGAGGGCUCCCUGGGAAACUUGGGGUCUCAUAUGAAAAGUAUAAAUGGAUUCUAAAGAUGCUAACAGCUGGGGGCUGUCAGCUCACCGCUUUUCGUAGCUGAAUGGCAGCUUCUUUCUUGAAGGGAAGUUUGAGUGUUGCAUUUCUGUGACUGCUACAGCCAUCUUCAUUCCCAUAGCCAUGUCUGGGUUCUUGGAUCCAUGACCUUUGUCAAAUGCCUGAGCUUCAAGCUUGCUUGGCAACAGGAAUCUGACUUGCCCUGAAUGGAGUGUCAAUAUGAAGAAAGAAGCUACUCUUUGAAGUGAGAUAGAAGUAAUUAUCUUUAGGGGAACCUUAUGGGAUCCGGGGGGGUUGGGGUGUUGUUAGUAAUCAAUCAUCAUGUUUUCACUGAGCAUAUACUUUGUACAUGUAAUGUGUAUCAUGUUUGCUGUUGGAAACUUACAACUAUAGAAUCAUGAAAUUAUAUGGGACUUGAGUGCCCAGCUAGGUAUCCCUCCCAUAAGCAAGAAUCUCUUGUAUAAUAACCCUUAUUGUUUCAGUAUCUUCUUACAUACCUCCAGUGAUGGCAAGCUUAUCCCUUUAGUCAUCCUUUUGGUUGUUGAAUAGCUCUACUUGAUAAAGUCUUCCCUCUUAGGUGAAACGCAAAAUAUUCCCAGCACCUUUAAUUUUUGAAGCCAUUUUAAUAAGACUUUUGCUGUCUCAUUUAUGAAUCCUUUGAAAACUUGAAAUACAGUUGUCUUUGUUCUUAAAAUACUGUUAGAGAGAGGAGGCUAUUAGAGUCUCUGAUUCACUAGCUGUAAAACCAUGGGGUCUGACUACUCCUGAUCACCAGUCUCUUUAUGACCUAGAAGUCUGUGAAGCCAUGAAAACUUCAUGGAACAAUUCUGAAAUAAAAGAGAAAUCCAUAUAAAUUAAAAGACAAUGCACCCUCACUCUGAAGUGUUUGUUGUAUAUUUCCUCUGGAGCACAGUGGGACUCAGGAAUCGUGGGACCAUCUGCUGAGCUAUUGCCCACUUAUGCUGAAAUAAAACAGGCUCUUUCUAAUUAGAAGCAUGUUCCUCAAGAUGAAACAAUACACGCUCUUCAACAUUUCUCCACCAUUAACAAUUCCUGAUGCUGACUGGACAUGUUAAUACAGCCCCCCUCUCCAUCAGGAAAACAAAUAAAACUGGCAGGAUGGUUCACAGCAUGAGAAAGAAUUCUUUAUAGUUACCCUCAACCAGCACUCAUUAAUGCACUACCUACUCACUAUACACUGGUCUCCAUGAUAGGUUCUGUCUCAUAUAUUGUUUUAUUUAAUAUUCACAAGGACAUUAUGAGGCAGAUUUUAGGAACUCCACAUUCUCAAUGAGAAGCCUCAGAGUAAUCAAGUGACUUGUUCAAGGUUGCUAAGUGAAUGAACUAGGACCUUUUGACUUGAAGUCCAGUGCUCUGUCUACUCUAACACUACGAGGAAAAAUAUAUUUUUUUUAAUUUUUUUUUUUGCUUUUUAGGGCUACACCCAUGGCAUAUGUGGGUUCCCAGGCUAGGGGUCUAAUUGGAACUACAGCUGCCAGCCUACACCACAGCCAUAGCUUUUCCAGUAUAUCAGGCUCACUCAGACUUGAGGGAAGUUGAGGAAGAAGCAAAGAAUGCCCCUGGGGUUUCAAAAAACAAUAGAGGGCACAGGGACAUUAAUAGGAUGGAGUGGUCAGAAAAGGGGUGUGAAAGGGCUGGAGAAAGUGAGUUUGAUUCUUGACAUGUUUUUUCAUUCAAGUUAAGACCCAUUUCUCCCUUAUGGUUUAGUUCACAGAUAAUUCAAUUCUCUGUGGUAAUAUAUCGAGGAAAAUUAUUUUACUGGCAAUGUACUUAGCCAUUUGAGAGAAAAGCACGCCCUCCUCUUUCUGCUAUGUUGGAGACUGACCCUGUGGCCAGCUGUUCCUAUAUGCCCUCUUAGGCCAGCCAAGAACAGCCGCUAACUUUCAGUCCUCAGCUACAUGACAGCCGUCCGAGUCCAAGGCCCACAGCUCUGGAAUUCACUGUCAGAGCAAAUAUAAAUAAAUCCAAACCUCCAUCUACCAUGGCCUGGCAUAUGCUUUGCGGGGAGGGAAAGUGGGGUGGGAAGCCCUACUCACAGCUCCAUCUAAAAAAAAGACUAUUUCUUAAGUCUCCCCAAGUGCCAUUCCAUCGAGAAAUCUGGGACCUCCACGGGAGUGUAAAUCUGUAACAGCAGUCAUUUUAAGACUCUCAGGCAAUCAAAACCAUCCUUCUAAUAUGCAAGGGGCACCGGCUGUAUCAGUCAACAUCCCAGCUAGAAAAAGAUGACAUUCUCAAACUGGAUGAUUUGAGGAUAGUUUUAAGAAAGGGUUUUUCACCAGAUAUAGUCAUGGAUUAGAGUAACACGGGAUGUAAAGUACCCUGCAACUGGUAAGAAGAGGAAGUGGUUCUAGGCUUAUGCUAGAAGGUUAAGCAGUUGGUGGGGGCGGGGGCGGGGGGGAGAUGGUUACCAGAACCCAGAGAGGAUCAUCUUAGGAGCAGGACCCUGAAAAGACCUGUGGUUCUCAAGCUGGGGACACAGCCAGCCUGAGGUGAUCUGUCGUGGAGAGAGUCUAGAGAGUGAACACCCAGUCUCACUUUCCUUCUGUAUUUUAAUCUCUUGCCUCCUUUUAGCUGAAUCCAAGAAAUCUAUCGAUCAUGGGAGCCUGUUGAUGGGUUCAUAGAGGCCAGUAUCCAGGAGCACAGAGCCAUUGGAUAAUGAUUAGGAAGAUCCACCUGGAGGGUACUUGGCACUGUCCACUACUUUUGCCCUUCAGCCUCUCCUCUUCUCUCUGUCCAGGUGAAAGAUUUCUGUCCUCAAAAUAGAUUACACAAUGUUCCAUCAGAUACUGUAACAUCCCCUGAGGAUUUUCAUGCCUUUAUAAUCUCAUCUGAAGACUAAAAGAACCCUAGCCACUACCAAGUUCUUUAUGAAAAGUCGUGGGUAGAAAUGAAGGAUGGAUUUAAAAAAAUAAUUAAAUAAAACACGAAGAUGUAAGCUCAGCUUCUACAUAAUGGAUCAUGAGGUAUGUAGAUAAUUAUAGCUGCCUUCUACUGCCAUUUGUAUUUCUAUUACUCACUGCCAGUUCCUCAGCCAGAUGACAUUCUUUACCUAUUGAAAUAACCCCAAUAUUUAUUUUUAUGAGAUCCCAGGCCUUGAAAAUCCUGUUUUUUGUUUUUUUCUUCUUAACCAUUUUUAAAAAUUGAAAUAUUGUUAUAGUGUUGUGUUCAUUUCAGGUGUAUAGCAAAGUGAUUCAGUUAUAUAUAAAUAUACAUUUAAUUCUUUUUCAGAUUAUUUUCCAUUAUAAAUUAUUAUAAAAUAUUGGAUAUAGUUCCCUCUCCUAUAGUUCUUGUUUUUUAUUUAUUUUAUAUAUAGUAGUGUGUAUAUGUUAAACCCAAAUUCUCAGUUAAUCCUCCCCUUUUCCCUUUGGUAACCAUAAAUUUGUUUUCUGUAUCUGUGAGUCUAUUUCUGUUUUGUAUAUACCACGUACCAUUUUUUUAGAUUCCACGUAUAAGUGAUGUCACAUGAUAUUUGUCUUUCUCUGUCUGAUAUUCACUGAAUAUGAUAAUCUCUAGGUCCAUCCAUGUUACUGUAAAUGGCAUUAUUUCAUACUUUUUUAUGGCUAAGUAAUAUUCCAUUGAAAGUAUAUACUGCAUCUUUUUUUAUCCGUUCUUCUGUUGAUGGACAUUUAGGUUGCUUUCAUGUAUUGGCUAUUAUAAAUAGUGCUACUAUAAACAUUGGGGUGCAUGCAUCUUUUUGAAUUAGAGUUUUCCCCACAUAUAUGCCCAGGAGUGGGAUUACUGGAUUAUAUGAUAACUCUUGAAAAAUCCUGUUUUGGUUUGCCCUGGUUUUCCAUUGAAGAGGACUGUUGGAGAACAAGAGGUGCUCCAAUGAAUCCCCUAGGUUAUAGAGACAGUUGUGUUCACCAAAAUUGUGAGGUAGCCUCUCAAUUUUCCUCUGAUAAUUGGAAUCAGAUAUCCUUACUGGGACAAUGGCAUCUUCCUUUGCCUAUUGGCUCAGCCACAUGAGAAGCCCAGAAAAUAUGGGAGAGUAACAUACUUGGCAUCUUGUUCAACAGUAAUAGAACUUAUUCUCUGGUGAAAUUAUUUCUCCUUUGGGACAGUAGUAACCCUUGGGACAAUGGGUUCCAAACCCAUUGAACCCAAGAUAAUGAUUUGGCUAGCAAAAACUUCUCCAUAGAAUGUUGCCGCCCACCUUGUGCCAAAAGUAAGCCUUUAUUAGGCCAUUCCAUCAUUCCAUCAAGCCAAUGGUGUGUAUGAAUAUUGGAGCACAUGGUAAGACUAGGGAAUUCUGAGGACUGGAACCCACUAUCAUUAUCUCCUUUGUUAUAAAAUGUUUUCACUAAUCAAAAGCAAAGUUAGUAGUAUAUUGUAGCAGUAGAUUUCUUUGCUAAUCCCUGGUUACCUAGAACAAUGCAUGGUACAUAAAAAGUACUCAAAAGCAUUUCUUUUUUUUUGUCUUUUCUAGGGCCACACCCAUGGUGUAUGGAGGUUCCUAGGUUAGGGGUCUAAUUGGAGCUGUUGCUGCCGGCCUACACCAGAGCCAUAGCAACGCAGGGUCUGAGCUGUGUCUGCAACCUACACCACAGCUCAUGGCAACGCCGGAUCCUUAACCCACUGAGCAAGGCCAGGGAUCAAACCCACAACCUCAUGGUUCCUAGUCGGAUUCAUUAACCACUGAGCCACGAUGGGAACUCCCCGAAAGCAUUUCUUAAAUGCAGACUAAGAAAGGAAUAAAUUGACCAAGAAUGAAAUGAAUGAAAUAAAGGAAACACACAUACAUAAGGAGAGAGCAAGGGGAGAAAUGAGAAGCUCUGAGAAAGACUGGCCCAAGAGAUAGAAAAAAUGGAAUAAAUAGAUGGAGAAGAGUGCUGACAAAGUGAAGCAGGAGAAUGGAAAGCAGGGAAUGGCCAAGACGGUCACAUGCUGCCAAGAUGUUGCAUAAGAUGAAGGCAAGAAAUGCACAGUGGAAUUGGCGACUAGGUCAGAGAGGGAAUGAAGAGCCAGAAACUGAUGGAUUUAAAUGAGGAAAUGGAGCCAGAGAGUGUUGACAACUCUUUUAAGAAAAUUGGGUGAAAAAAAAAA